This 468-nucleotide ribosomal RNA is filed under the name uncultured bacterium. Its description in RNAcentral is "partial 16S ribosomal RNA". It matches the Rfam family "Bacterial small subunit ribosomal RNA", at positions 28 to 507 of the family's 1533-position model. The record is from RNAcentral.
GACGAACGCUGGCGGCGUGCUUAACACAUGCAAGUCGAACGGAAAGGCCCUGCUUUUGUGGGGUGCUCGAGUGGCGAACGGGUGAGUAACACGUGAGUAACCUGCCCUUGACUUUGGGAUAACUUCAGGAAACUGGGGCUAAUACCGGAUAGGAGCUCCUGCUGCAUGGUGGGGGUUGGAAAGUUUCGGCGGUUGGGGCUGGACUCGCGGCUUAUCAGCUUGUUGGUGGGGUAGUGGCUUACCAAGGCUUUGACGGGUAGCCGGCCUGAGAGGGUGACCGGCCACAUUGGGACUGGGAUACGGCCCAGACUCCUACGGGAGGCAGCAGUGGGGAAUAUUGCACAAUGGGCGGAAGCCUGAUGCAGCAACGCCGCGUGCGGGAUGACGUCCUUCGGGUUGUAAACCGCUUUCGCCUGUGACGAAGCGUGAGUGACGGUAAUGGGUAAAGAAGCACCGGCUAACUACGUG